AUGGACCAAGCCGAAAAUCCAUAUCAAAAGAGUAGGCA
RNAcentral lists this non-coding RNA (38 nucleotides) under unclassified sequences. RNAcentral describes it as "DUF805b RNA". It matches the Rfam family "DUF805b RNA". From Rfam's summary of the family: Bacteroidetes, Chlorobi (1 example), Proteobacteria. Lineage (Flavobacteria) The record is from RNAcentral.